CGCUGAGGAGCGAAAGCGUGGGGAGCGAACAGGAUUAGAUACCCUGGUAGUCCACGCCGUAAACGGUGGGUGCUAGUUGUGGGCCACAUUCCACGUGGUCCGUGACGCAGCUAACGCAUUAAGCACCCCGCCUGGGGAGUACGGUCGCAAGACUAAAACUCAAAGGAAUUGACGGGGGCCCGCACAAGCGGCGGAGCAUGCGGAUUAAUUCGAUGCAACGCGAAGAACCUUACCAAGGCUUGACAUAUAGAGGAAACGUGCAGAAAUGUACGCCCCGCAAGGCCUCUAUACAGGUGGUGCAUGGUUGUCGUCAGCUCGUGUCGUGAGAUGUUGGGUUAAGUCCCGCAACGAGCGCAACCCUCGUCCUAUGUUGCCAGCACGUAAUGGUGGGAACUCAUGGGAGACUGCCGGGGUCAACUCGGAGGAAGGUGGGGAUGACGUCAAAUCAUCAUGCCCCUUAUGUCUUGGGCUUCACGCAUGCUACAAUGGCCGGUACAGAGGGCUGCAAUACCGCAAGGUGGAGCGAAUCCCAAAAAGCCGGUCUCAGUUCGGAUUGGGGUCUGCAACUCGACCCCAUGAAGUCGGAGUCGCUAGUAAUCGCAGAUCAGCAACGCUGCGGUGAAUACGUUCCCG
RNAcentral lists this ribosomal RNA (633 nucleotides) under uncultured Actinomycetes bacterium. RNAcentral describes it as "bacterial SSU rRNA". It matches the Rfam family "Bacterial small subunit ribosomal RNA", at positions 744 to 1376 of the family's 1533-position model. The record is from RNAcentral. Lineage: Bacteria; Bacillati; Actinomycetota; Actinomycetes.